RNAcentral lists this long non-coding RNA (1161 nucleotides) under Catharus ustulatus (Swainson's thrush). RNAcentral describes it as "lncRNA (ENSCUSG00005008483.1)". Lineage: Eukaryota; Metazoa; Chordata; Aves; Passeriformes; Turdidae. The record is from RNAcentral.
GCCGGGCGCGCUGCGGGGCCAAGUGCGGAGCGGCGGCGGCGCUGGCAGCGCUCCCGGGCGGAGCGGCCGGGCCCGCGCCCCUCCCCGCCCCUCCCGCCGCCCGCAGCCCCCCCCGCCCGCUGCGCGCCCGCGCCGCCGCUCGCCCGCCCGGGGCCGGCAGCGCUCUGCCCAUGGCUCUCCUCGCUCCCGGAACGUUCCAGUCGUAGGCACAGCCCAGCCGUAUCUGCUCCCUUGCACAGAGCUUUGCUGACCCGAAAAUCUGCUCCAGAACUUUUGGGGAAAACACUAAAGCAGCACAAGGCCAUUUAACCUCACAACUUGAGCCCUGCAGACAAGGUGCAAGGAAGAAGAAUGGAAACACGCCCUGGACUCAAGGUUCCGUGACAGGGAGAGGAUUGCCUUUAGAACUGGGCAGUUCUCAUGCAGCUGAAGGAAUGCCCCAGAUGGAGUUUACUCCAUUCAGCUACAAAAUAGCAAUGGUAACAUAAGCAUACACGGCUUAACUGUACAACAGCAGCAGGACCUUCUCUGAAGGACAGACAUCCUGGGCCCAUGCUCAGCCCCACUUCUGAGGCUUGCCUUAGGAGCUUAGUGCCCCAUACUGCAUCUCCAGGCAUGAUUCUUCACUGUCUGAAAACACAGGGAUGCAACUGUAAAACAGUCAAUAGCUACAUCAUGUAGAAAGGAAUAUCUUCCCAACUCCAUUCCUAGAAAUCUUACGUUCAAUAUUUCUGGUGGCACAAGUAGCUCCUGGUUGCAUAGGACAUGCCAGAUCACCCUUAUUCAGGAUAUUGAUUCUGAAGUAUCACACUUUGAAGCAAAGGUCUCUAGCAUGGUGUGUUGCACUAAGAGCAGAAUUAAACAUAGCACAGAUACAUACAUAUUUGUAGUUCCAUAGAGUAUUCAAAAUACAACUUUCUAGAAAACUGAGUAUGAAUGAGUAAAUGCCUCGAUAGCAAAGAUAACAGGCAUACACUGUCAAAUACCUAAUCUAAUUUCAUAUUCAUUGUUUUUAACCAAAGGGAAAAGACCAAAAUGUACUCUGAUGCUAGAAAAGAAAUGGUUAAGGCACAUACAGCACAGAGUAUUCACACAGGCACACCCCAUAUCUUUGGCAAAAAAUUACUUAGGCUCCUGAGAGAAACAAAUUGUUCAGAAAAA